CUUCACCGAUCCGAGCAGCAGCGGCCGGUCCGCCGGGUGCGCCUGCCCGUAGGUCGCCAGCAGGGCCUGGGCCUC
RNAcentral lists this antisense RNA (75 nucleotides) under Lentzea albida. Its description in RNAcentral is "ASpks TB sRNA". It matches the Rfam family "ASpks TB sRNA". The record is from RNAcentral. Lineage: Bacteria; Bacillati; Actinomycetota; Actinomycetes; Pseudonocardiales; Pseudonocardiaceae.